RNAcentral lists this ribosomal RNA (771 nucleotides) under uncultured Streptococcus sp. Its description in RNAcentral is "bacterial SSU rRNA". It matches the Rfam family "Bacterial small subunit ribosomal RNA", at positions 28 to 776 of the family's 1533-position model. Lineage: Bacteria; Bacillati; Bacillota; Bacilli; Lactobacillales; Streptococcaceae. The record is from RNAcentral.
GACGAACGCGGCGGCGUGCUAAUACAUGCAAGUAGAACGCACAGGAUGCACCGUAGUUUACUACACCGUAUUCUGUGAGUUGCGAACGGGUGAGUAACGCGUAGGUAACCUGCCUGGUAGCGGGGGAUAACUAUUGGAAACGAUAGCUAAUACCGUAUAAGAACAUUUACUGCAUGGUAGAUGUUUAAAAGGUGCAAGAGCAUCACUACCAGAUGGACCUGCGUUGUAUUAGCUAGUUGGUGAGGUAACGGCUCACCAAGGCAACGAUACAUAGCCGACCUGAGAGGGUGAUCGGCCACACUGGGACUGAGACACGGCCCAGACUCCUACGGGAGGCAGCAGUAGAGAAUCUUCGGCAAUGGGGGGAACCCUGACCGAGCAACGCCGCGUGAGUGAAGAAGGUUUUCGGAUCGUAAAGCUCUGUUGUUAAGGAAGAACGUGUGUGAGAGUGGAAAGUUCACACAGUGACGGUACUUAACCAGAAAGGGACGGCUAACUACGUGCCAGCAGCCGCGGUAAUACGUAGGUCCCGAGCGUUGUCCGGAUUUAUUGGGCGUAAAGCGAGCGCAGGCGGUUAGAUAAGUCUGAAGUGAAAGGCAGUGGCUCAACCAUUGUAGGCUUUGGAAACUGUUUAACUUGAGUGCAGAAGGGGAGAGUGGAAUUCCAUGUGUAGCGGUGAAAUGCGUAGAUAUAUGGAGGAACACCGGUGGCGAAAGCGGCUCUCUGGUCUGUAACUGACGCUGAGGCUCGAAAGCGUGGGGAGCGAACAGG